AGAGUUUGAUCAUGGCUCAGAACGAACGCUGGCGGCGUGGAUAAGGCAUGCAAGUCGAACGAUCUUCGCAAGAAGAUAGUGGCAGAAGGGUUAGUAACGCGUGGGUAAUCUACCUUCGAGACAGGGAUAACCUCCCGAAAGGGGGGCUAAUACCCGAUGACAUUGCGGCUGCGCAUGUGACUGCGAUCAAAGGUGGCCGCAAGGCUGCCGCUUGAAGAUGAGCCCGCGUCCUAUCAGCUAGUUGGUGAGGUAACGGCUCACCAAGGCUUUUGACGGGUAGCUGGUCUAAGAGGACGGUCAGCAACACUGGGACUGAGACACUGCCCAGACUCCUACGGGAGGCUGCAGUCGAGGAUCUUUAUCAAUGCCCGAAAGGGUGAAUAUGCGACGCCGCGUGUGGGAUGAAGGCCUUCGGGUUGUAAACCACUGUCAGGGGUGAGGAAAACCCAUGCGUUAACAGCGCGUGGAUUUGACGUUAACCCCAAAGGAAGCCACGGCUAACUCUGUGCCAGCAGCCGCGGUAAUACAGAGGUGGCAAGCGUUGUUCGGAUUUAUUGGGUGUAAAGGGCAGGUAGGUGGUCGCGCAAGUCCGUUGUGAAAUCCUAGGGCUCAACCCUAGAACUGCAAUAGAAACUGCGCGGCUUGAGUGCUGGAGAGGUGAGGGGAAUUCUCGGUGUAAGGGUGAAAUCUGUAGAUAUCGUGAGGAAUACCAGUGGCGAAGGCGCCUCACUGGCCAGCAACUGACACUGAGCUGCGAAAGCAAGGGGAGCAAACAGGAUUAGAUACCCUGCUAGUCCUUGCCGUGAACGAUGUGGAUUAGUGUCGGGAGUGUCGAUCCUCUCGGCGCCGGCGUUAACACAUUAAAUCCACCACCUGGGGAGUACGGUCGCAAGACUGAAACUCAAAUGAAUUGACGG
RNAcentral lists this ribosomal RNA (917 nucleotides) under uncultured bacterium. RNAcentral describes it as "bacterial SSU rRNA". It matches the Rfam family "Bacterial small subunit ribosomal RNA", at positions 8 to 916 of the family's 1533-position model. The record is from RNAcentral.